AUUGAACGCUAGCGGGAUGCUUUACACAUGCAAGUCGAACGGCAGCGCGGACUUCGGUCUGGCGGCGAGUGGCGAACGGGUGAGUAAUGUAUCGGAACGUGCCCAGUAGCGGGGGAUAACUACGCGAAAGCGUAGCUAAUACCGCAUACGCCCUACGGGGGAAAGCAGGGGAUCGUAAGACCUUGCACUAUUGGAGCGGCCGAUAUCGGAUUAGCUAGUUGGUGAGGUAACGGCUCACCAAGGCGACGAUCCGUAGCUGGUUUGAGAGGACGACCAGCCACACUGGGACUGAGACACGGCACAGACUCCUACGGGAGGCAGCAGUGGGGAAUUUUGGACAAUGGAGGCAACACUGAUCCAGCCAUCACGCGUGUGCGAUGAAGGCCUUCGGGUUGUAAAGCACUUUUGGCAGGAAAGAAACGUCGCGGGCUAAUACCCCGUGGAACUGACGGUACCUGCAGAAUAAGCACCGGCUAACUACGUG
RNAcentral lists this ribosomal RNA (484 nucleotides) under uncultured bacterium. RNAcentral describes it as "partial 16S ribosomal RNA". It matches the Rfam family "Bacterial small subunit ribosomal RNA", at positions 30 to 507 of the family's 1533-position model. The record is from RNAcentral.